RNAcentral lists this long non-coding RNA (471 nucleotides) under Fukomys damarensis (Damara mole-rat). Its description in RNAcentral is "lncRNA (ENSFDAG00000031754.1)". The record is from RNAcentral. Lineage: Eukaryota; Metazoa; Chordata; Mammalia; Rodentia; Bathyergidae.
CUUUGAGAUCCCGUGUGAAAGGAGAUGAUGACUACAAAGAUGGUGGAUUUCAAGCAAGAUGUAUCAUGGAGAAAGGUCUCAAUUCCUACGUUUCUUUGUUUCAUCAUUGAAAAUGGCCAUUCACUAUGUGUCUUGAAUAUGAUGUAUGCAGCUGCUGUCACUGCCUUCGCUGUCCAUCCCCUGCUGCUGAUACAAUGAUCCCUCUCUAGCUUCCAGGCUCAGAGCCAGCCUAGGCACUGCCUCCCGCUGUGCUGUCCUACUGCUUCCGGGAUCCUGCAUCAUUGCCCUCAUUGUAUGUGACUACGCUGAUUGUCUGAUUAUCACACGGAAUACAGAACCUACCCAAGGCUUGGCAUCAGUAAAGCUUGGAAUUAAGUGAGGUCUGUCUAAUUCCAAAGCUCAGGCUCUUUCAACGGCCACAGCUGAUCAAUCACCCCAUGAUUAAAAAUAACUCACUAUCCAAAGCCCGCA